CUCACCUUCAAGUUAUUUCCCUCCUCUAGAAUGCUGUACUUCCACCACUGCCAAAUCGUGAACUUUCUCUCCUUCAAUAUCCCACUGAGAACUCACCCCCAGGAUGGGACUCUGCUCACCCCGUCCUCUACUCAAGCAGAAGCCUCUCAGCGAUCAUAGGGCAAGGCCUGAACACAAGCUUCUGUUGGUGUAAAGUGGAGGCACAGGCUGCAGGACUGUCUCAGAAGGGAAAUAAUAUUUACCUUCCAAACUGAGAUCUAAAACCCGAACAAAGCCUCAGGAAACAUACUCCACCACCAUCUUACAAGUUUGUGCUACGGGUGGAGGGAAAAUGAAUCUAAUGUAGGAGGCCUCCCGCUGUGCGUCUAGCAGGAAAGACCAUACGGUGCAAGUCUCCAGGAUCACUAGAGGGGUGGAUUGUUCAUUUCAGUCCAGGUAGCAACAGGAAGCCCGUGCAAAUGUUCCUCUCUCACUGCGGGGCUAAGGAGUGUGGGUCCUUUCCCGCGACUACCUGCUUGCCUCUCUCAGAACCUGCAAGUGAAGUGCGGAAGAUCUGUCUAUCUUCUCGGCGGCGCAGAGCCCAAGGUAGAAACCGAUGGAGGCGGUGCACUAGAUAACAUCAAAGCCCCGGGCAGGGGCCAGAAAGGGGGGCACAGGCAGCCCGGGGAAUGAAGCGCCUCCCUCUAGCAUUUCCUCUCACGCCCACUUCCAACCUAGGAGGCUUUUGGUUUCUGCUUUUUUGUUUUUAAAAUUAAAAGUUAAACCCAGGAAGCUUUGGAUCAGA
Molecule: long non-coding RNA, 784 nt
Filed under: Homo sapiens (human)
Lineage: Eukaryota; Metazoa; Chordata; Mammalia; Primates; Hominidae
Description: novel transcript
Source: RNAcentral